ACAGGUGGUGCAUGGUUGUCGUCAGCUCGUGUCGUGAGAUGUUGGGUUAAGUCCCGCAACGAGCGCAACCCUUGAUUUUAGUUGCCAGCAUUUAGUUGGGCACUCUAAAGUGACUGCCGGUGCAAGCCGGAGGAAGGUGGGGAUGACGUCAAAUCAUCAUGCCCCUUAUGACCUGGGCUACACACGUGCUACAAUGGAUAGUACAAAGGGUCGCGAAGCCGCGAGGUGGAGCUAAUCCCAUAAAACUAUUCUCAGUUCGGAUUGUAGGCUGCAACUCGCCUACAUGAAGCCGGAAUCGCUAGUAAUCGUGGAUCAGCA
Molecule: ribosomal RNA, 318 nt
Filed under: Listeria monocytogenes
Lineage: Bacteria; Bacillati; Bacillota; Bacilli; Caryophanales; Listeriaceae
Description: bacterial SSU rRNA
Rfam family: Bacterial small subunit ribosomal RNA
Source: RNAcentral